UUAACCGUGCUUGGGCGAG
This 19-nucleotide small nuclear RNA is filed under the name Arabidopsis thaliana (thale cress). Its description in RNAcentral is "snRNA_16470". Lineage: Eukaryota; Viridiplantae; Streptophyta; Magnoliopsida; Brassicales; Brassicaceae. The record is from RNAcentral.